This 384-nucleotide ribosomal RNA is filed under the name uncultured Vibrio sp. RNAcentral's name for it is "bacterial SSU rRNA". It matches the Rfam family "Bacterial small subunit ribosomal RNA", at positions 67 to 449 of the family's 1533-position model. The record is from RNAcentral. Lineage: Bacteria; Pseudomonadati; Pseudomonadota; Gammaproteobacteria; Vibrionales; Vibrionaceae.
CGGGUUAUCUGAACCUUCGGGGGACGAUAACGGCGUCGAGCGGCGGACGGGUGAGUAAUGCCUAGGAAAUUGCCCUGAUGUGGGGGAUAACCAUUGGAAACGAUGGCUAAUACCGCAUAACACCUUCGGGUCAAAGAGGGGGACCUUCGGGCCUCUCGCGUCAGGAUAUGCCUAGGUGGGAUUAGCUAGUUGGUGAGGUAAUGGCUCACCAAGGCGACGAUCCCUAGCUGGUCUGAGAGGAUGAUCAGCCACACUGGAACUGAGACACGGUCCAGACUCCUACGGAGGCAGCAGUGGGGAAUAUUGCACAAUGGGCGCAGCCUGAUGCAGCCUGCCGCGUGUGUGAAGAAGCUUCGGGUGUAAAGCACUUUCAGUCGUGAGGAA